This 206-nucleotide ribosomal RNA is filed under the name uncultured bacterium. RNAcentral describes it as "partial 16S ribosomal RNA". It matches the Rfam family "Bacterial small subunit ribosomal RNA", at positions 1299 to 1500 of the family's 1533-position model. The record is from RNAcentral.
UGCAGUCUGCAGCUCGACUGCACGAAGCUGGAAUCGCUAGUAAUCGCGGAUCAGCACGCCGCGGUGAAUACGUUCCCGGGCCUUGUACACACCGCCCGUCACACCAUGGAAGUCUGCAAUGCCCGAAGCCGGUGGCCUAACCACUUAUGUGGAAGGAGCCGUCUAAGGCAGGGCAGAUGACUGGGGUGAAGUCGUAACAAGGUACC